AAUUUUUUCUUCUGGAUUAAAAAUGAAAUGCUAUACCUUAUAAAGCCUACGCUGUGAGUGGAACACACUGUGCUGGUCCCACCAGUGGACUGGUGUCAAGAUAAGUCCCAAACCCAUGAGAACAGGCUGAUGGGGACAAUCUCCUUGCCUCUAAACCACAGUCAGAACAAUGCUAAAGUAAGCAGUGCUGUUGCACUGUAUGUCCCUUCAUUUCCUACAAACGGCCUUCUGAGAUAGCGAUCUUCAUCAGGACACGUCAUGACAUCAUGCUGAAGCAGCCCUGACUAGGACAUUGACAUCACUUCCUCCACAGUUCAGGAAACAUCACAGAAGAGGGAGCAGAAUAAAUGUAAGAGCCAGAAAGAGAAGGGGAGAAAAUGCUGCAAAACACAGUCCUGUGGACAUGGUGCAGCCACUGUAUUCAUGAACACACAGAGCUGAAGACAAACUUUAGCAGGACCUGUUCCAGAAUUCUCUAUACGUAUCCUUACUUUUUCUGGUACACCAAGAACAUGCUGAAUAAGUGCUGUGGACUUCUCUUCAUUCAAGGUCACCAAAUGGGCACUAACCACACAUCCCCUCUAUACAUUACAAAAGACCUAUAUUCAAGAUGCUGUAUUUUCAAUUACUUAAAAAUGAGUUAACAUACA
Non-coding RNA from Rattus norvegicus (Norway rat), 650 nucleotides. The record is from RefSeq and is a predicted model, not a curated record. NCBI's taxonomy places the organism in Eukaryota, Metazoa, Chordata, Mammalia, Rodentia, Muridae.